UACGAAGGGGGCUAGCGUUGCUCGGAAUCACUGGGCGUAAAGCGCACGUAGGCGGAUUGUUAAGUCAGGGGUGAAAUCCUGGAGCUCAACUCCAGAACUGCCUUUGAUACUGGCGAGCUUGAGUCCGGGAGAGGUGAGUGGAACUGCGAGUGUAGAGGUGAAAUUCGUAGAUAUUCGCAAGAACACCAGUGGCGAAGGCGGCUCACUGGCCCGGUACUGACGCUGAGGUGCGAAAGCGUGGGGAGCAAACAGG
This 253-nucleotide ribosomal RNA is filed under the name uncultured bacterium. RNAcentral describes it as "partial 16S ribosomal RNA". It matches the Rfam family "Bacterial small subunit ribosomal RNA", at positions 524 to 776 of the family's 1533-position model. The record is from RNAcentral.